This 459-nucleotide ribosomal RNA is filed under the name uncultured bacterium. RNAcentral's name for it is "partial 16S ribosomal RNA". It matches the Rfam family "Bacterial small subunit ribosomal RNA", at positions 339 to 795 of the family's 1533-position model. The record is from RNAcentral.
CUACGGGCUGCACCAGUGAGGAAUAUUGGUCAAUGGGCGAAAGCCUGAACCAGCCAAUCCGCGUGCAGGAUGACUGCCCGAUGGGUUGUAAACUGCUUUUAUACAGGAAGAACUUCCCCGACGUGUCGGGGCGUGACGGUACUGUAAGAAUAAGCAUCGGCUAACUCCGUGCCAGCAGCCGCGGUAAUACGGAGGAUGCAAGCGUUAUCCGGAUUUAUUAGGUCUAAAGGGUGCGUAGGCGGAUGAUUAAGUCAGUGGUGAAAUCCUACAGCUUAACUGUAGAACUGCCAUUGAUACUGGUUAUCUUGAGUUUAGUUGAGGUAGGCGGAAUGUGUGGUGUAGCGGUGAAAUGCUUAGAUAUCACACAGAACACCGAUUGCGAAGGCAGCUUACUAAGCUACAACUGACGCUGAGGCACGAAAGCGUGGGGAGCGAACAGGAUUAGAUACCCGGGUAGUC